GUGGCAUGGUCGGGACACAUACUAAGUAAUUCUUUAAAUCUUUCCCAAGCUUCUUAAAAUGAAUCACCAUCUAACUGGAUAAAUGCAGUGAUAUCAUUUCUAAGCUU
Molecule: small nucleolar RNA, 107 nt
Organism: Dendrobium catenatum
Lineage: Eukaryota; Viridiplantae; Streptophyta; Magnoliopsida; Asparagales; Orchidaceae
Source: RefSeq, a predicted model, not a curated record